This 253-nucleotide ribosomal RNA is filed under the name uncultured bacterium. RNAcentral's name for it is "partial 16S ribosomal RNA". It matches the Rfam family "Archaeal small subunit ribosomal RNA", at positions 474 to 727 of the family's 1478-position model. The record is from RNAcentral.
UACCAGCACCCCGAGUGGUCGGGACGUUUAUUGGGCCUAAAGCAUCCGUAGCCGGUUCUACAAGUCUUCCGUUAAAUCCACCUGCUUAACAGAUGGGCUGCGGAAGAUACUAUAGAGCUAGGAGGCGGGAGAGGCAAGCGGUACUCGAUGGGUAGGGGUAAAAUCCGUUGAUCCAUUGAAGACCACCAGUGGCGAAGGCGGCGUCCUGGACCAACACUGACACUGAGGAGCGAAAGCCAGGGGAGCAAACGGG